CUCUUCUAGUAUACUUAUUACAAUUGACUUCCAAUCUCUAAAAUCUGGCACCAACCCGGAGAAGAGCA
This 68-nucleotide transfer RNA is filed under the name Bambusicola fytchii. RNAcentral's name for it is "tRNA-Gly". Lineage: Eukaryota; Metazoa; Chordata; Aves; Galliformes; Phasianidae. The record is from RNAcentral.